UACGUAGGGGGCUAGCGUUGUCCGGAAUCAUUGGGCGUAAAGCGCGUGUAGGCGGUCCGGUAAGUCCGCUGUGAAAGUCGGGGGCUCAACCCUCGGAUGCCGGUGGAUACUGUCGGGCUUGAGUACGGAAGAGGCGAGUGGAAUUCCUGGUGUAGCGGUGAAAUGCGCAGAUAUCAGGAAGAACACCCGUGGCUAAGGCGGCUCUCUAGUACGGUACGGACGCUGAGACGCGAAAGCGUGGGGAGCAAACAGG
This 253-nucleotide ribosomal RNA is filed under the name uncultured bacterium. Its description in RNAcentral is "partial 16S ribosomal RNA". It matches the Rfam family "Bacterial small subunit ribosomal RNA", at positions 524 to 776 of the family's 1533-position model. The record is from RNAcentral.